AGGGUUAGGCGGGGCCUAAGGCGAGGCCGAGAGGCGUAGUCGACGGACAACUGGUUAAUACUCCAGUCCCACUCUAGGUGCGAUGGAGGGACGCUCUAGGCUAGGCAGACCGGAGCCAUGGACGAGCCCGGCCAGAAGCGCAAGGGGGGCUACAGGCAAACCCGUAGCCCGCUACCCGUGCGCGGUGGGGAAGGCGCGAGCUGACAACCUGCCGAAGCCAGGGAGCCGAGAAAAGCUUCUAAGCA
This 245-nucleotide ribosomal RNA is filed under the name Vibrio parahaemolyticus. RNAcentral's name for it is "partial 23S ribosomal RNA". It matches the Rfam family "Bacterial large subunit ribosomal RNA", at positions 1376 to 1627 of the family's 2925-position model. Lineage: Bacteria; Pseudomonadati; Pseudomonadota; Gammaproteobacteria; Vibrionales; Vibrionaceae. The record is from RNAcentral.